Molecule: transfer RNA, 74 nt
Filed under: Posidoniimonas polymericola
Lineage: Bacteria; Pseudomonadati; Planctomycetota; Planctomycetia; Pirellulales; Lacipirellulaceae
Description: Planctomycetes bacterium Pla123a tRNA-Ala
Rfam family: tRNA
About the family: Transfer RNA (tRNA) molecules are approximately 80 nucleotides in length. Their secondary structure includes four short double-helical elements and three loops (D, anti-codon, and T loops). Further hydrogen bonds mediate the characteristic L-shaped molecular structure. tRNAs have two regions of fundamental functional importance: the anti-codon, which is responsible for specific mRNA codon recognition, and the 3' end, to which the tRNAs corresponding amino acid is attached (by aminoacyl-tRNA synthetases). tRNAs cope with the degeneracy of the genetic code in two manners: having more than one tRNA (with a specific anti-codon) for a particular amino acid; and 'wobble' base-pairing, i.e. permitting non-standard base-pairing at the 3rd anti-codon position.
Source: RNAcentral
GGGGGCGUAGCUCAGCUGGGAGAGCGGCGGCUUUGCAAGCCGUAGGUCGCAGGUUCGAUCCCUGUCGCCUCCAC